Molecule: non-coding RNA, 107 nt
Organism: Jatropha curcas
Lineage: Eukaryota; Viridiplantae; Streptophyta; Magnoliopsida; Malpighiales; Euphorbiaceae
Source: Rfam
AAGCUAUGAUGUGGGCACUUCGUCAAUAUAUCCUUGAAUCUCUCCCAAGCUUCAUACAAACUCUCUUGAUGAUGGUGGGCAAAGGUCAUUAUCUCAUUGCGAAGCUU